Molecule: ribosomal RNA, 253 nt
Filed under: uncultured bacterium
Lineage: Bacteria
Description: partial 16S ribosomal RNA
Rfam family: Bacterial small subunit ribosomal RNA
Source: RNAcentral
UACGUAGGAGGCAAGCGUUGUCCGGAAUCACUGGGUGUAAAGGGUGCGCAGGCGGGAAGGUAAGUCAAUGGUGAAAUCUCACGGCUCAACCGUGAAACUGCCAUUGAUACUGCUUUUCUUGAGUUUGGGAGAGGGUGGUGGAAUUCUUGGUGUAGCGGUGAAAUGCGUAGAUAUCAAGAAGAACACCAGUGGCGAAGGCGGCCACCUGGCCCAUAACUGACGCUCAUGCACGAAAGCGUGGGGAUCAAACAGG